UUAGGCAUUGUGGUGUUUAGGUUGGCUCGUGGGAUUGCCGCUCCACUCUAAGUCCAGUAUUGAGUAUGGUUUCUGGAUUUGGCCCAGAGAGGGUGAGAGGCCCGUGGGGGUGGAGUUUCAGACAUGAUUGGCAAUUCACCAGGUCAGCCUCAGAGUCGGGUUGUUUGAGAAUGCAGCCCAAAGCGGGUGGUAAACUCCAUCCAAGGCUAAAUACUAGCACGAGUCCGAUAGCGAACAAGUACCGUGAGGGAAAGUUGAAAAGUACUCUGAAGAGAGAGUAAACAGUACGUGAAACCGCAUGGAGGUAAACGGGUGGCGUCAAGCUGCAAGCCUGGAGAAUUCAGUCGGUUGAUGGUCGGUUGGACUAGUCUGUGUUACAGGCCUGCUCUGCAGGAUUUGCUGUCCACUUUGGUUGGUGGAGCAAACUGGUUCGACUUAUGGCUGUUGAUCGGUGCACUUUCUCCGUGGUGGACACCACGACCGGUGGUACUGCCAGUCUGCUUUGGUCAAGUCUUUGUUGUCUCUCUGAGGCAGCUUGGAUCACAUGCAAUUUCAGUGCACGGUGCUUGAGCGUUUCGGCGAUUGAGCAUGUUAUCGGACACUGGUUGUAAACGGGCGUGCGUGAUGAUUGUGAAUUGUUGCGUGCGCUUGGUGGACCUUUGUGGUAUGAAUAACUGUGCAGGGCACCGUUGUUAGCGGUCUCUAAUCUGGUUGCUGCCCACUUCACAAGUGGUCGUGUGAGCGUUGUUCAUGCUUGCCUGUGCUUCGAUCUGAUUGUCGUGUUGCCUGCGCAAAGU
This 797-nucleotide ribosomal RNA is filed under the name Echinobothrium sp. n. 4 FPLM-2013. RNAcentral's name for it is "eukaryotic LSU rRNA". It matches the Rfam family "Eukaryotic large subunit ribosomal RNA", at positions 136 to 633 of the family's 3401-position model. Lineage: Eukaryota; Metazoa; Platyhelminthes; Cestoda; Diphyllidea; Echinobothriidae. The record is from RNAcentral.